GGCCGGUGCACGCUUUACUCGGAAUUACUGGGCGUAAAGCGCGCGUAGGUGGUUUGUUAAGUUGGAUGUGAAAGCCCUGGGCUCAACCUAGGAACUGCAUCCAAAACUAACUCACUAGAGUACGAUAGAGGGAGGUAGAAUUCAUAGUGUAGCGGUGGAAUGCGUAGAUAUUAUGAAGAAUACCGGUGGCGAAGGCGGCCUCCUGGAUCUGUACUGACACUGAGGUGCGAAAGCGUGGGUAGCGAACAGGAUUAGAUACCCUGGUAGUCCACGCCGUAAACGAUGACAACUAGCUGUUGGGAGACAAUGUCUUUCAAUGGCGCAGCUAACGUUUUAAGUUGUCCGCCUGGGGAGUACGGCCGCAAGGCUAAAACUCAAAUGAAUUGACGGGGACCCGCACAAGCGGUGGAGCAUGUGGUUUAAUUCGAUGCAACGCGAAGAACCUUACCUACUCUUGACAUACUUGAGCUCUUGUAAUGAGAGUGUGCUUUGACCAAGAUACAGGUGCUGCAUGGCUGUCGUCAGCUCGUGUCGUGAGAUGUUGGGUUAAGUCGGAUAACGAGCGCAACCCU
Molecule: ribosomal RNA, 572 nt
Filed under: uncultured Gammaproteobacteria bacterium
Lineage: Bacteria; Pseudomonadati; Pseudomonadota; Gammaproteobacteria
Description: bacterial SSU rRNA
Rfam family: Bacterial small subunit ribosomal RNA
Source: RNAcentral